GACGAACGCUGGCGGCGUGCCUAAUACAUGCAAGUUGAGCGCUGAAGGUUGGUACUUGUACCAACUGGAUGAGCAGCGAACGGGUGAGUAACGCGUGGGGAAUCUGCCUUUGAGCGGGGGACAACAUUUGGAAACGAAUGCUAAUACCGCAUAAAAACUUUAAAAACAAGUUUUAAGUUUGAAAGAUGCAAUUGCAUCACUCAAAGAUGAUCCCGCGUUGUAUUAGCUAGUUGGUGAGGUAAAGGCUCACCAAGGCGAUGAUACAUAGCCGACCUGAGAGGGUGAUCGGCCACAUUGGGACUGAGACACGGCCCAAACUCCUACGGGAGGCAGCAGUAGGGAAUCUUCGGCAAUAGACGAAAGUCUGACCGAGCAACGCCGCGUGAGUGAAGAAGGUUUUCGGAUCGUAAAACUCUGUUGGUAGAGAAGAACGUGGGUGAGAGUGGAAAGCUCAUAAAGUGACGGUAACUACCCAGAAAGGGACGGCUAACUACGUG
This 497-nucleotide ribosomal RNA is filed under the name uncultured bacterium. RNAcentral's name for it is "partial 16S ribosomal RNA". It matches the Rfam family "Bacterial small subunit ribosomal RNA", at positions 28 to 507 of the family's 1533-position model. The record is from RNAcentral.